CCUGGAAGUAAAAGUUGUAAGUAAGGUAUCCGUUGGUGAACCAGCGGAGGGAUCAUUACCGAGUUUACAACUCCCAAACCCAUGUGAACAUACCUAUCGUUGCUUCGGCGGGAUCGCCCCGGGCGCCUCGUGUGCCCCGGAUCCGGCGCCCGCCUAGGAACCUUAACUCUUGUUUUAUUUUGGAAUCUUCUGAGUAGUUUUUACAAAUAAAUAAAAACUUUCAACAACGGAUCUCUUGGUUCUGGCAUCGAUGAAGAACGCAGCGAAAUGCGAUAAGUAAUGUGAAUUGCAGAAUUCAGUGAAUCAUCGAAUCUUUGAACGCACAUUGCGCCCGCCAGUAUUCUGGCGGGCAUGCCUGUCUGAGCGUCAUUUCAACCCUCAUGCCCCUAGGGCGUGGUGUUGGGGAUCGGCCAAGGCCCGCAAGGGACGGCCGGCCCCUAAAUCUAGUGGCGGACCCGUCGUGGCCUCCUCUGCGAAGUAGUGAUAUUCCGCAUCGGAGAGCGACAAGCCCCUGCCGUUAAACCCCCAACUUUCCAAGGUUGACCUCAGAUCAGGUAGGAAUACCCGCUGAACUUAAGCAUAUCAAUAAGCGGAGGAAAAGAAACCAACAGGGAUUUGCCUC
Molecule: ribosomal RNA, 622 nt
Filed under: Clonostachys rosea
Lineage: Eukaryota; Fungi; Ascomycota; Sordariomycetes; Hypocreales; Bionectriaceae
Description: partial 18S ribosomal RNA
Rfam family: 5.8S ribosomal RNA (bases 216-369)
Source: RNAcentral